Long non-coding RNA from Syngnathus acus (greater pipefish), 1040 nucleotides. RefSeq lists it as uncharacterized. The record is from RefSeq and is a predicted model, not a curated record. The transcript is spliced from 2 exons. NCBI's taxonomy places the organism in Eukaryota, Metazoa, Chordata, Actinopteri, Syngnathiformes, Syngnathidae.
UCACGUGUAUUGCUCUCAGACUUUAUUGGACAGAAACCAAACCUCAUAUGACUGAUUCUGUUUAAUUAAGAUGAAAAGGUAAACAAAAACAAAAACCCCCACGGCCCACUACCCUCAAAUAAUGUUAGCCUCAUUGUACAAGCUCCAGUCACAAUAUAUCUCGUUUUCUUUCUCCUCUGAAUAACCCCGAAGUGUAAAAAUCUGGAGGAUAUUCAAGGAAAGUACAGAACAGAAUGUACUUUUGUAGAAUAAUAACUCAAGAACAUAAAGGAAGAAUAAUCAGAAUUGCCUUCAAGGCAGCAGCAGAAUAAAUGGGCCACUGGCACAUAAAGUGUCAGCGGUGCAUACAGUAUAAAAAUACAUGCAGGGAUCUUGAGCCACCGAGAAAACCUGCCACUGUGGGUUGCGUUCUCGUAGGCUGAUUCAAGCCAGAAAUAUGGGAAGGUCUCCAAGUGAGAUGUCCCACACGCUGUCCCACUUAGCAGCCAAAAAGCAAGGAAGCAUCUAUUUAGCACAUUGCACUGCUCCCUCCAUUCGUAUGUCUCGGAUCUAAUCCAAAAUAUGAAGAAGGGACACAUUGUAGUAGUUUCCUUUUGGUUUUACGAGUGCCCACGACAACAUGAGACUAAAUCCACAUCCACACACACAGAGCACAUCUGCGCUGUGAGACUUACAGAAAGGGACACUGCCAGCUGGCUUUGUUUCAACAUUUCACCUCUAGGGAUUGGCUUUAGCACAGGCCAAAAAAGGAAGCGACGUGACUACACAACUGCGCUAUGGCGUACACACGCACUAAAGUGUGCAAUCACAGCAAACACACUAGCCUUAUGUGGUCACAAGAUAUCCAGUGCUGUAUCAGCUAACACAUCUACGCUUGCAGCCAAAUACGUUCUAGAGUAGUCCAGAUGUACGUGGGCCCUUGGCGAUGCAUGGAGCUUAUAUCUGACACUUCGGAGAGCGCCGCUUCAAGACGAGACGCAGCAACUGACGAUGGACUCGUUGAACCUACAUGAAUAAAACACAAUCAUUACCGUUUCAUA